GACGAACGCUGGCGGCGUGCUUAACACAUGCAAGUCGAACGGUGAAGGGGUCUGCUUUUGUGGGCCCUGGAUGAGUGGCGAACGGGUGAGUAACACGUGAGUAACCUGCCCCCUUCUUCUGGAUAACCGCAUGAAAGUGUGGCUAAUACGGGAUAUUCUGGGUCUGUCGCAUGAUGGGUCUGGGAAAGAUUGCGCCUUUGGGUGUUUUUGGUGGGGGAUGGGCUCGCGGCCUAUCAGCUUGUUGGUGGGGUGAUGGCCUACCAAGGCGGUGACGGGUAGCCGGCCUGAGAGGGUGGACGGUCACACGGGGACUGAGACACGGCCCAGACUCCUACGGGAGGCAGCAGUGGGGAAUAUUGCACAAUGGGCGCAAGCCUGAUGCAGCGACGCCGCGUGAGGGAGGGAGGCCUUCGGGUUGUAAACCUCUUUCGCCAGUGAAGCAGGCCUGCUCCUUGUGGGUGGGUUGACGGUAGCUGGAUAAGAAGCGCCGGCUAACUACGUG
Molecule: ribosomal RNA, 502 nt
Filed under: uncultured bacterium
Lineage: Bacteria
Description: partial 16S ribosomal RNA
Rfam family: Bacterial small subunit ribosomal RNA
Source: RNAcentral